Molecule: small nuclear RNA, 23 nt
Filed under: Arabidopsis thaliana (thale cress)
Lineage: Eukaryota; Viridiplantae; Streptophyta; Magnoliopsida; Brassicales; Brassicaceae
Description: snRNA_07816
Source: RNAcentral
UUUACUGUACCGCGAUUGCGAUU